AAAAUGUAUGCAUGUAAGUUUCUUUGAAUAAAAGCAUCUGCUAAAUGGCAUAUA
This is a non-coding RNA of Salmo salar (Atlantic salmon), 54 nucleotides long. The record is from Rfam. NCBI's taxonomy places the organism in Eukaryota, Metazoa, Chordata, Actinopteri, Salmoniformes, Salmonidae.